Molecule: long non-coding RNA, 217 nt
Organism: Scophthalmus maximus (turbot)
Lineage: Eukaryota; Metazoa; Chordata; Actinopteri; Pleuronectiformes; Scophthalmidae
Exons: 3
Source: RefSeq, a predicted model, not a curated record
AGGUUUUGAAUGCAUUCAUCCAUGCCACCAUUGUGAGGAGUCAAGAGGAGUCUGGGAAAACAACUAUAUCUUGUUGACUCCUUUCAAAUGACUGCAAUGUGGAAAGGAUCAUUCAGGGGAUUAAACAAGCUUGACCCAAUGGCCUAUGAUGUCCUAAUAGGCCCGGUCUGUGACAAUCGGCACUGGACACUUGUGGUCAUUUAUCCAAAGGAGAAGC